AAAACUCUGUCCUCAAGGAAGAUAAUGACGGUACUUGAGGAGGAAGCCCCGGCUAACUACGUGCCAGCAGCCGCGGUAAGACGUAGGGGGCUAGCGUUAUCCGGAUUUACUGGGCGUAAAGGGUGCGGAGGCGGUCUUUCAAGUCAGGAGUGAAAGGCUACGGCUCAACCGUAGUAAGCUCUUGAAACUGGGAGACUUGAGUGCAGGAGAGGAGAGUGGAAUUCCUAGUGUAG
RNAcentral lists this ribosomal RNA (233 nucleotides) under Clostridioides difficile. RNAcentral's name for it is "partial 16S ribosomal RNA". It matches the Rfam family "Bacterial small subunit ribosomal RNA", at positions 427 to 678 of the family's 1533-position model. The record is from RNAcentral. Lineage: Bacteria; Bacillati; Bacillota; Clostridia; Peptostreptococcales; Peptostreptococcaceae.